Molecule: long non-coding RNA, 865 nt
Filed under: Parus major (Great Tit)
Lineage: Eukaryota; Metazoa; Chordata; Aves; Passeriformes; Paridae
Description: lncRNA (ENSPMJG00000014200.1)
Source: RNAcentral
CCGCCGCACCGAGGGAGCCCUCCCUGCCCGGAGCCACCAGCCCGAGCUCAGCAGAUGUUGAAGUUGUGGCAGAUUCUUGGGGGAGAAGCUUCCAUUGCCCCACCCUGAAAUGGCCUCUUUCUUGGAGGAGGAUGUCAGCGUUGUCCCUGAGUGUUCAGGGGAGCAGCCUGUCAACAGGGCUGCAGCUGAGACAGCCUUGCCUGGCAACACAAGCAGUGGGAACAGUUCUCUGAAGCCCGAGGAGCCUGAGCUCCACCUGCUGUACCUCGCCCGGAGGGCUGCCCUGCGCAGGCAGAAGUGCCCGAGCUCCCAGCCAGGGCCGGCCCUGGUGGGUGCCGAUGGUGGCCGCGCUGCGGGGCCACAGCUCCUUGUGAAGAGCCCCGACUGCUGCCCCGAGAUCCCUGCAGACACCAAGAGACUGAAGAGAGACCAGAAGGAGAACGUGCCGGGCGGCCUGGAGGUGUUCAGCUCCGCUUCCAGCCACUCCCAGCAGCACCUGGACUCAGCCCUGAGCAGGGACCUGCAGCUGCCACCCUCGAGCCACCUGUGCGGCCCUUCCAGGAAAAGUGAAGGUGCUUCUGGAUUGCCCCCAGAGCGGGCAGGAGGGAUUUGUUGUGGCCCACCGCAGGAUGCAGCCCAGGCAGAACUGGUGGCAACAGGGCAGAAGUGAAGCCGCGUCAUCCCAAGUCUCCUGGCAGAUGGGGCAGUUGCUGUCUGUCCCUGUGGCCAUUUGUGUGCUCUGCAGCACGUUGGGGACAGCUGAAGACCAGGAGCUGCUCCCCUCGCUGGUGUCACACACUGCAGGAGGGAGAGACCAUAGUCACUGGCUGUGCCAAGGAGAGGAAUAAAAGGCAGGAAAUGCCCA